ACCAGACUCCUACGGGAGGCAGCAGUGAGGAAUAUUGGUCAAUGGACGAGAGUCUGAACCAGCCAAGUAGCGUGAAGGAUGACUGCCCUAUGGGUUGUAAACUUCUUUUAUAAAGGAAUAAAACGAGGCACGUGUGCCUUUUUGCAUGUACUUUAUGAAUAAGGAUCGGCUAACUCCGUGCCAGCAGCCGCGGUAAUACGGAGGAUCCGAGCGUUAUCCGGAUUUAUUGGGUUUAAAGGGUGCGCAGGCGGAAGCGGCAAGUCAGGGGUAAAAUUGCGGGGCUCAACCUCGCCGAGCCGUUGAAACUGCUCUUCUAGAGUGGGCGAGAAGUAUGCGGAAUGCGUGGUGUAGCGGUGAAAUGCAUAGAUAUCACGCAGAACUCCGAUUGCGAAGGCAGCAUACCGGCGCCCAACUGACGCUCAUGCACGAAAGCGUGGGUAUCGAACAGGAUUAGAAACCCUAGUAA
RNAcentral lists this ribosomal RNA (466 nucleotides) under uncultured bacterium. RNAcentral's name for it is "bacterial SSU rRNA". It matches the Rfam family "Bacterial small subunit ribosomal RNA", at positions 330 to 793 of the family's 1533-position model. The record is from RNAcentral.